Long non-coding RNA from Homo sapiens (human), 754 nucleotides. RefSeq annotates it as long independently transcribed non-coding RNA 2046. NCBI's taxonomy places the organism in Eukaryota, Metazoa, Chordata, Mammalia, Primates, Hominidae. The transcript is spliced from 5 exons. The record is from RefSeq and is marked validated.
GCGCCUCUCCCGCCACACCUCCCUGCAAGCUGAGGGAGCCGGCUCCUGCCUUGGCCAGGCUAGAAAGGGGCUCCCACAGUGCAGGGGCGGGCUGAAGGGCUCCUCAAGUGCCACCAAAGUGGGAGCCCAGGCAGAGGAGGUGCCGAGAGCGAGCGAGGGCUGCGAGGACUGCCAGCAGCUGUCACCUCUCGUUACCAUCACUCCUAGUGACCAUUUCGGAUAAUCCACCUUGCCUCAUCAAACCAGAAAACAAUUCAAACCUGGCCUCCUUCUAACUGGAAGCCACAUUUUAAGAACUUAUUGUGAAGAACUGGAAAGCCUCCAAUAGAACAGAAGCUAAAAGCAGAAAUUAUAAAAGCUGUUACACCUACUCAGCUCUAUUACAUGUUGGAAAAACUGAACCAGAGAAACAAUUACAUACACUCUUGUCUUCUGGAAAAGCUGAAUUGGGUUUUGGUCUGAAUCAAUAGGACCCAUUAUACAGGCUGCCUUUCCAGCUCUCCAAUCAUACUUCCAAGAAAACUGCUCACUCUCAGAACCAAGGUUCAAGUUGUACAUUGGGAUUUGGGUAGAGGCUAUAUAUACAGUGAUGCCCAUCUACCCCUGAGAUCUAAAAAUCUAAGAUGAAAACGAGCACACAGUCUUGGCAGCAUUGGGGUAACAGACUAUGAAAGAAGAAAUCAGAUUGGAAAAUUCAGUAUAUCAAUGAAGAAAAUAAUCACUCAAGGAGAGGAAUAAACAGCAAAACAAUCUA